GCCCAGUGUGGUGACACGUGCCCAUAGUCCCAGCUACUCGGUAGGCUGAGGCUGGAGGAUCGCUUGAGUCCAGGAGUUCUGGGCUGUGGUGUGCUAUGCCUAUCGGGUGUCCGCACUAAGUUCAGCAUCAAUAUGGUGACCUCCCGGGAGCAGGGGACCACCAGGUUGCCUAAGGAGGAGUGAACCGGCCCAGGUCAGAAACGGAGCAGGUCAAAACUCCCGUGCUGAUCAGUAGUGGGAUCGUGCCUGUGAAUAGCCGCUGCACUCCAGCCUGAGCAAUAUAGCAAGACCUCGUCUCU
RNAcentral lists this signal recognition particle RNA (299 nucleotides) under Cebus imitator (Panamanian white-faced capuchin). RNAcentral's name for it is "Metazoan signal recognition particle RNA (ENSCCAG00000002696.1)". It matches the Rfam family "Metazoan signal recognition particle RNA". From Rfam's summary of the family: The signal recognition particle (SRP) is a universally conserved ribonucleoprotein. The record is from RNAcentral. Lineage: Eukaryota; Metazoa; Chordata; Mammalia; Primates; Cebidae.